UACUUACUCCGUGAAUCG
This 18-nucleotide small nuclear RNA is filed under the name Arabidopsis thaliana (thale cress). Its description in RNAcentral is "snRNA_17185". Lineage: Eukaryota; Viridiplantae; Streptophyta; Magnoliopsida; Brassicales; Brassicaceae. The record is from RNAcentral.